This 481-nucleotide ribosomal RNA is filed under the name uncultured bacterium. RNAcentral's name for it is "partial 16S ribosomal RNA". It matches the Rfam family "Bacterial small subunit ribosomal RNA", at positions 28 to 507 of the family's 1533-position model. The record is from RNAcentral.
GAUGAACGCUGGCGGCGUGCUUAACACAUGCAAGUCGAACGAAGCACUUUAUUUGAUUUCCUUCGGGACUGAUUAUUUUGUGACUGAGUGGCGGACGGGUGAGUAACGCGUGGGUAACCUGCCUUGUACAGGGGGAUAACAGUUGGAAACGGCUGCUAAUACCGCAUAAGCGCACAGCAUCGCAUGCUGCAGUGUGAAAAACUCCGGUGGUAUAAGAUGGACCCGCGUUGGAUUAGCUAGUUGGUGAGGUAACGGCCCACCAAGGCGACGAUCCAUAGCCGAGCUGGGAGGGUGACCGGUCACAUUGGGAAUGAGACACGGCCCACAAUCCUACGGGAGGCAGGAGUGGGGAAUAUUGCACAAUGGGCGAAAGCCUGAUGCAGCGACGCCGCGUGAGCGAGGAAGUAGUUCGGAAUGUAAAGCUCUAUCAGCAGGGAAGAUAAUGACGGUACCUGACGAAGAAGCACCGGCUAAAUACGUG